Molecule: non-coding RNA, 70 nt
Organism: Dipodomys ordii (Ord's kangaroo rat)
Lineage: Eukaryota; Metazoa; Chordata; Mammalia; Rodentia; Heteromyidae
Source: Rfam
GGGAAGGUGGCUCAGUGGUAGAGUGCUUGCCUUGCAUGCAUGAGGCCCUGGGUUCGGUUCCUCAGCCCCA